Molecule: transfer RNA, 85 nt
Filed under: Arabidopsis lyrata subsp. lyrata
Lineage: Eukaryota; Viridiplantae; Streptophyta; Magnoliopsida; Brassicales; Brassicaceae
Rfam family: tRNA
About the family: Transfer RNA (tRNA) molecules are approximately 80 nucleotides in length. Their secondary structure includes four short double-helical elements and three loops (D, anti-codon, and T loops).
Source: Rfam by way of RNAcentral
AGGACCUUAGCUCAGUUGGUAGAAGCGGAAGACUGUAGUAGUUGCUGUAAUCUUUAGGUCGCUGGUUCGAUUCCGGCAGGUCGGA